GUAUGUUGCUAAUUAGCUUAAGCUCCCAGGCUGACAGGGAAAAAGCCCACAUAAUUGGAGCUGAUGUGCUGAACUCUGUCUGUCUGGAACCAGUGUGCGACUCACAGCCUUUAGGUAUUGCCUUGCCUCUGACUAAUGCAACUGGGUACAUCCUAUUCACACGGGCUCCUCGCCAUUUGUUAUCAUAUAAGGACUAGUGACAAGCAACUUCAGUAGGGCUCAUCUCCUGCAACAGGAAUAGGCAGCGCUGUGAUUGGCUGAAAAGAGGAGUGACUGAGAAUGUCAGAAGACUCCAGUGGGCUGUUGGGAAACCCUGGAGGAGCACUGGAAGAAAGGACUGAUAGAAGAAAGCCCUUUAAUUGGAGCCCAACCAGUGGACUAGUGACUUUUUUUCUGAAAUGUCAUUCUCAUCAUCUUGCAGGAGAAAUUACAUGAAUUUCAGGGAGGAGUGUAUACUAUGUCUCUGAAGAUAACUCAUUUCAUAGUAGUGAUAACUUGAAGGGUUGGGGGAUAAAUGCUAUCUCUGUAAUCUAUGCAAUUAGUAAUCUGUUUUUAUUUUUUCAUUCAGAUUCAAAAUAAUCAUAUAUGUAUAUAAUGUAUACAUGUAAUCCCAUCAAAAGCAACAAAAAAGUAGAAUCAUAUAGUCAUCAUGACUUGGACCUAUGCUGUGCUAUGCUAUGCGAAUGUUUGGUAACACUUAAUGAGGUGUGCUCCCAUACUUUGCUCUCCAUUGAAAAAUGCCUUAAAAAAUGCUCAAUAUAUUACUGUGUAUUUUGUUUAGUAAUCAUUUAAAAAGCAGGAGAGGCAAAAGGAAAUACAUGAAGACAGAACUAAAAUAUUACAAAGGAAACAUGAUUGCGUAUCUUGGUAUACCUUGGUUUUUUCAUUUUUAGGUGGUGUCAUAUUGCAUGAAUAUAUUUUUUGUUGCUUUUUUAGGAAGCAGAUGCUCAGCGGGGUGAGUUUACAUUAGCCAAUAUCCUUAUCAAGAAGCAAGUGGUACUGUAGCUGAUGUUUCAAAUAUAACUUAUUCAAUUGGUUGACCCAUAUCAUCAUCAUCAUCAACUGAUGUUUGCUUUAAUUUUUUUUAAUAUGUCAAUUCAUUAGACAGUACUGUUCUAAGACAGCAACACUCAUAGGGGCCCAUUUAUCAUACAGUGCGUAUAGAGCUUGCCAUAGUUGGCCAGGGUGAACCUCCCUUUUGCACUAUAUUGGAUUGUUAAAAGUCUCUUUAUCAAAGGCUGAAUUUUCACUUUCACCCACUGAUAAACAUGCUCCCAAAAUCCCAUAGAAAUCAACAGAGAAGGGAACCCAAUGACCCGAGUGUAACGGAAGGGAAAAAGGGCAUGACUAAGCUAGGAGGACAACCCUUUCCCUCCCCCCACCGGAUCUUAGUUGCUAGUUCAGGGCAGAAAAAAGGAGGGGCGCCCCGGAUGUGAGCUCACCUAGAUUUCGGCGGGCAGAAGGAGCAGGAGCAGUCAGCAUCCCUCCCUCCCUCCCUAAGCGGUGGUAAUCAAUAGUCGCAGUGCGGGGGGUGGGGUCGACUUUGAGCCCCAGAGAAAAUUAAAAAAGGUACAGUUGGUAAGGUGAGUGGGUAACUGGGUAGGCCUGGGGUCCCAAGGGAGAUGGAUAAUCCAGAAUGGGACCGGGAUAGUAGACAGGACACAGGCUCCGGGCCUGGGCUCAGGGUCAGACCUCUUUGGAGGUAUAAGUUAUUUGAAUGUUGUUUAAUGUUUGGAUUUACAAACGGUUAAUAAAAGUUAUGGUUGUUUAUAUCUAUA
Molecule: long non-coding RNA, 1778 nt
Organism: Xenopus tropicalis (tropical clawed frog)
Lineage: Eukaryota; Metazoa; Chordata; Amphibia; Anura; Pipidae
Exons: 2
Source: RefSeq, a predicted model, not a curated record